Long non-coding RNA from Carassius carassius (crucian carp), 1171 nucleotides. RefSeq lists it as uncharacterized. The record is from RefSeq and is a predicted model, not a curated record. The transcript has 5 exons. Lineage: Eukaryota; Metazoa; Chordata; Actinopteri; Cypriniformes; Cyprinidae.
GCAGUUUACACAGUAUAAGAAAUAUGUAAAUGGUGGAACUUUAAUUAGUUUAUCAGAGGGAGACAACUAUAUUCUGUUCAAGGGAGAUAUUUAUAUAGUGAAAAACAUUUUAAAAGACAAGGAAGCAUCGCAUCUAGUCUGUCUUAAAUUCCAAAACAAGUCAUCUUUUUUCACCUAUCCCAUUGAUUCAUCAAUUCUUGAUAUAUCCUUUGUGAAACAACCCGGGCAGUCAUUGACUAUUGUUCCUACACAGACUGUUUCAAAAGUCCUUCUUUUACAGUAUAAGGAUGGGUUUGUGGCAUAUCCUUUACUGCAUACUGCUUGAUUUCCCCAAUCCCCCCGCCCCCCGCCCCUUCUGUAUCUGACAAAUGUACAGAACCUACCAAUCAUAAAGAAUAGUAACAAUAAGACUAGGAAAUAUUUUGGUUUAGAUAGAUUUCCACUGGGUAAGUAAUAGAGCUUCAAUAAAUGUAUAUAGUUUGUAACACUAGAUAUAUUGUUUUUUUUUUUUUUUUAUAGAUGUAUUCUAUAGUUGUUUUUACUGAAAAGAAUGAGACAGAGGUGAUACCAAGUGACUGGCUGAGCAUCGACAAAAAAAAUUCCUUUUGGCCCCCAUAUAAUGGUACAAAAUGUAGAAAAGCGGUUAAAAGAAAUGAAACUCCUGAUGAAGAAUGGAACGAAUAUAUAACUGAAUGGGUGGCUGAGUAUGAUUCCUAUGAAAAAGCCAGAAGAAAGCUGGUGAAGUUUUGUAAAGGCAACAGUUUGGAGUCUACAGAUGAGGACAGUGUACGGAAAAGAGUACCAUCAUCAAAAUAUGUAAAUGGAUUUACAUCUAAUACAGCCUCAGGAAGACCUCCAGUGUAGGCCUCAACAAGCUGGCUCCACACAGAGACAAUGGAAAGACCAAAAAAAAAAACUUCUGCAGUAAUGGAGCCAAAAGAUUGAAUUUGCCAGCCAUACCACCAUUUGCACCAUCAGCACCUGCUGUGACAGUCCCUGAACCAAGACAAGAUGAAAGAGAACUCCGGCUCUACCAGAUGCUGGAAGAGAUAAAGGGUCAAGUCAGGCAGAAUACGCUCCUCCUUCAGGCCGUUAUGCGAAGAGAGAAUGCAGCUGAAGUUGUAAAUGAGGAGUUUCAGUUUCCAUUAAGGAGCAUGACAGGCAUAAAAGA